RNAcentral lists this ribosomal RNA (539 nucleotides) under Staphylococcus aureus. RNAcentral's name for it is "partial 23S ribosomal RNA". It matches the Rfam family "Bacterial large subunit ribosomal RNA", at positions 822 to 1365 of the family's 2925-position model. The record is from RNAcentral. Lineage: Bacteria; Bacillati; Bacillota; Bacilli; Caryophanales; Staphylococcaceae.
AGAAAUUCCAAUCGAACCUGGAGAUAGCUGGUUCUCUCCGAAAUAGCUUUAGGGCUAGCCUCAAGUGAUGAUUAUUGGAGGUAGAGCACUGUUUGGACGAGGGGCCCCUCUCGGGUUACCGAAUUCAGACAAACUCCGAAUGCCAAUUAAUUUAACUUGGGAGUCAGAACAUGGGUGAUAAGGUCCGUGUUCGAAAGGGAAACAGCCCAGACCACCAGCUAAGGUCCCAAAAUAUAUGUUAAGUGGAAAAGGAUGUGGCGUUGCCCAGACAACUAGGAUGUUGGCUUAGAAGCAGCCAUCAUUUAAAGAGUGCGUAAUAGCUCACUAGUCGAGUGACACUGCGCCGAAAAUGUACCGGGGCUAAACAUAUUACCGAAGCUGUGGAUUGUCCUUUGGACAAUGGUAGGAGAGCGUUCUAAGGGCGUUGAAGCAUGAUCGUAAGGACAUGUGGAGCGCUUAGAAGUGAGAAUGCCGGUGUGAGUAGCGAAAGACGGGUGAGAAUCCCGUCCACCGAUUGACUAAGGUUUCCAGAGGAAGGC